Molecule: long non-coding RNA, 3917 nt
Filed under: Elaeis guineensis (African oil palm)
Lineage: Eukaryota; Viridiplantae; Streptophyta; Magnoliopsida; Arecales; Arecaceae
Description: long non-coding RNA (EGUI_LNC068819)
Source: RNAcentral
GUUGCUUUUGCUUAUACCAGGAAGUUUUUCAUGCUGGGCUUCGACUUCCUCUUCCACCUUUUGUUGUUGCUCUUUUUUAUUUUUUAAACAUUUCUCUAGUUUCUGUAGCGCCGAACUACUUUAGGUUUCUGAUAGGAUUUCUUUUCCUCUGUUGCUUAGCUGAAGUCCUACCAACUCUUUCUUUGUUUAAAAAUUUUUAUACCUUCAACCGUCAUCCUUCGGCAAAGGACUGGUGGUACUUCUCCCCCUAGUUCGGUAGAAAGGGGUUGCUGAAAGGUGCCCCCUCUUCUAUCCAUAACUAGAAGGAGAAGUACUUCUACAUUUGAUGCCCGACCCUGAUGCUGGGGUUGCCCUCUUGGGGCUCCCUGAGGGACUCCGUCCGUUGGGCUUCUAGCUUGGAAAAGGAUGAUCUUGAAGCCUUCAAUAAACUUAAGGCUUAUCCAGCUCCUCUCCUCUCUGACCUUUUGAAGGAGUAACUCUUAUUUAACGUCAACCUAAGCCCUCUCAACCCUGUCGGUAUUUUAUUUAUUAUUUUUUUUCAAGUCAUUCGCUGCUUCCCUUUUUUUCUUGUUUCAUUUCUAAGCCAUGCCAAUCUUCUUUCAUUGCAGAUAUAGACGCAGAUGCAGCUCGGAUGCUAGCCAAGGGUCUCAAGGCCCACAAGAGGAAAGGCGCCGCAACUUUUGGGUCGGCGAAAAAGGCAAGGGUAGAAGAGAUAGGCUCGACCGUGCCUGCCCAGGCGGCCAUUGCCGUUGAUGCCCCCUCCGAUGUCGAGCCCGCAGUCCCUCGAGCUUCUUCAAGAAGCCCCCCAACCAAGAUUCCCGCUCUAGAGUCUAGCCCCGAGGAGGCACCGGGGGCCAAAAGGAGGAGAAGGAAGAAGACGUUGGCCUGCAAGGUCCGCAGCAGCAGGGCUGCCAUCGAGGAGGCUGACGGCUCCGAAGAGGAUCCGGGGCAGAAUCCCUUCAAUAAUAGGGAUUUAAUAAAGAGAUUGGUCGACGGAUGCGUUCUGCCUGAGGUCAUCCACAGGAUUGUCCAUGCUGAUCCUGAAUAGAGGGUCUGGGACUCUCUGGGGUCCUUUCUUGAGGUAGGCCGAUUUACUUUUUUCUUCCUUUCGCUUCUUUGAUUAGCUUUCAUAUUGACUUUCUGGUUGUUCUUGCAGAUUGGACACCAACUCAUUGCCUACAUCGAGGCGAUGAAUAAUGCCAAGAAGGAAGCAGCCCAGGUGGAGGAAGGUCGCCAGGCAGAAGCUGCCCACAUGAAGGAGAAGGUCGUUGAAGUCGUGAGCCUCCAGGAGGUGCUCCAGAAGGAGGAGCAAUCUUCGAUGGAUCUGAAGGCCGCCUUGGAGGAGGAAAGAAAGAAGACAGAGGCCGAGGUCUCUAAGCUGAAGGAGCAGAUCCUGACCCUAAUCUUGGAGGCAUGGGCCCAAGCAGUGGAGGAGUUCAAGACCUCCUCCGAGAUGAGGGAUCUGAAUGUCCAGUUCGGCCAUGCCACCUUCAUCAAAGGCUUUGAGCUCUGCCAGGAGGUGGUCGGAAAAUUUUUCAAACUCGACCUUGGCUUCCUAGAUGAAGCAUCCGACAAUGAAGCCAGACCUUCCAAAGCUACUUCCAGUCUCCCUCCAGUUGGGACCUCUUCGACUGCUGCAGCUGCUGUGACUGACCUUCCGAGGGUGCCGAGCUCCNNNNNNNNNNNNNNNNNNNNUAUUAACAAAUCAAUUACAAUACUUGGUUGCUCAACCGUCAACAGCUUGACGAUUGGCUUUUUGGGACACAUUUCCCAACAGGUUAAUGGCUGGAGAGGUAUGGAAGACGUCGAAGACAAUCGAUCACUGUAGAAGUUUGAUUGCUGGAGCCCGUCCGUUGUAGAUGUUCGUCCGGAAUCCAACCACUGUAAAAGUUCGGACGGAGUCCGGUUCUUGUAGGAAUCCGAAAUGAAGUCCCUUACUAUAGAAGCUCGGAUGGAGAUUGGUUGCCGUAGAAGUCUGGAUGGAGAUCGCUUAUCGUAGAAGCUCGGAUGAAGAUCGAUUGCCGUAAAAGUCCGGAUGGAGACCGCUUAUCGUAGAAGCUCGGAUGAAGAUCGGUUGCCGUAGAGGUCCGGAUGGAGACUGCUUAUCGUAGAAGCUCGGAUGAAGACCAAUUGCUGUAGAGGUCCGGAUGGAGACCGCUUAUCGUAGAAGCUCGGAUGAAGAUCGAUUGUUGUAGAAGUUUAGAGUAGAAAUCCGACUGCUGGAGCCCAUCCCUUGUAGAAGUCUAUCUGAAAUCCAUCCACUACAGAAGUUUGGAUGGAGUCCGAUUCUUGUAGGAGCUCGGAUGAAAUUUGGAAGGUGAUCGACCACCGCAGAAAGUUGGAUAGAAUUUGGCUACUGUAGAAGUCCUGCUGCUGGAGAAGCUCGGACAUUGACGAAGUCCAGAAGAAGCUCGGAGUAUAGUCGAUCGUGACAGGAGGAAGUCUGGAAGAGAUUCGGAGAGUAGUCGAUCACUGUAGAAAAUUGAAUGAUAGUGAAGCCUAGAGAGCAAUUGAAGCAGUUCGAUAGAUGAAUGAAGGAGCUCAUUAUUGGAGAAGUCUGGAUGGCACAAUAGGAGUUCAUCCGUUGGAGGAAUCUGGAGGACACUGUGGAAGGUCGACUGCUGGAGGAGUUCAGAUGGCACAAUAGGAGUUCAUCCAUUGGUGGAAUCUGGAGGACACUGUGGAAAGUCGACUGCUUGAGGAGUCCGGAUGGUACUGUGGAAGCUCGGAUGGCCGGGGGAGUUCAGAAAGACGCCGCACAAGGUCGGAAGACGGAAGAGUCCUGGGAGGGUUGGCCUCUUACGAACUUUGGCUGAGGUUAUUUUAUACCCAACACCAGUCCCCCUACUUUCGAGUUCGGAUUUCGAAUGAAGUACAGAAAAAUUUUCACAGUCGAAGUUGCCCCCCUUGAUUUUCGUAUUCGAUUGUUUCCAGAUAUUUUGGCAUUUGACGUGCCAGUGCUAGAGUCUUUUCAAAUCGAGGUGACUCAAAAAGAUUUUUUCAGAAUUUCUACUAGAGCAUUGCUCUAGUACGGUACAAUAAUGAUUUUGUUAGUCGUCAGUUGUCUGCCACGAUGAGUGGGAUAUGCGGCGGUUGUAGAUCGACCAAAAGAGAUCUGCAAUCAUUAUUGCACAGGAUCCUGCUGUCUAUUUAAAUCCGUCCCCCUCCUUCAGGGGUUUCACUUUGCCUGGGAUUUUCUUUCGGUCCUCUCUUCUUCCCCGAGAGCUUCAUCCUCCUCCAGCAUCUCUCUUGACCUUAGGCACCCUUCAGGUCGUCCUCCAUCGCUCUUGCUGCCCUUCUUCAUCUCUCGGACCAGCCUAGGUUAGUUCCGUAACCCUUCUUUUUCUUGCUAUUUUUUUCAUUUUAUUCUUCUUCACAUUCUGCCCAUUUGGUUUCUCCAUGAGUGCCUUGUUUCUCAUUUUUUCCAAUUUUUUCGAGAUUUUUUGGGGUUUUCACUUGAUUCAAAAUAUCCUCCGACACUUCCUCCUCUAGCAAUUCUAGAAGUUUGUCCAUUCCGGCCUCCCAAAAUCCUAGUUCUGUAGAUGGACCUCAUCCGAUCUUUGUACCAGACAUCAUUCCCAGCUCUUUGACUUCGGAUGAACUCUCGCUGAUUAGGAUUCAGUAUGGAGUUCCUCCGAAGUACGAGCUUGAGCUUCCCGGGCCAACUGACCGGGCUAGUGCUCCUCCCCCUGGUUGCUUUUGCUUAUACGAGGAAGUUUUUCAUGCUGGGCUUCGACUUCCUCUUCCACCUUUUGUUGUUGCUCUUUUUUAUUUUUUAAACAUUUCUUUAGUUUCUGUAGCGCCGAACUACUUUAGGUUUCUGAUAGGAUUUCUUUUCCUCUGUCGCUUAGCUGAAGUCCUAACAACUCUUUCUUUGUUUAAAAAUUUUUAUACCUUCAACCAUCAUCCUUCGACAA